UACAGAGGGUGCAAGCGUUGUUCGGAAUUACUGGGCGUAAAGCGCGUGUAGGCGGCUGGAAAAGUCAGAUGUGAAAUCCCUAGGCUUAACCAAGGAACUGCAUUUGAUACUGUCUAGCUUGAGUUUUGGAGGGGGUGGUGGAAUUCCUAGUGUAGAGGUAAAAUUCGUAGAUAUUAGGAGGAACACCAGUGGCGAAGGCGACCACCUGGACAAAAACUGACGCUGAGACGCGAAAGCAUGGGUAGCAAACAGG
Molecule: ribosomal RNA, 253 nt
Filed under: uncultured bacterium
Lineage: Bacteria
Description: partial 16S ribosomal RNA
Rfam family: Bacterial small subunit ribosomal RNA
Source: RNAcentral